UGCUUGGAAUAUAUCAAGACGUAGCUUAAACUAAAGCCUCUUAUUUACACUAAGAAAAUAUUUGUUAAACUCAAAUUGUCUUGAGCCUAAAAUCUAGCCCAACUAUCCCUGAUAACAACACAACCCAUUCGCCCCAUAAUAAAUCAUUCAAAAAUUCUAGUACUGGAGAUAGAAAAAAUCAUAAGCGCUUUAGAUAAAGUACCGCAAGGGAAUAAUGAAAUAAAAAUGAAAACUCAAAGCCCGAUAUAGCAGAGUUAACCCCUCGUACCUUUUGCAUAAUGGUCUAGCCAGUUUAACCAAGCAAAAAGAAAUUUAAGUUUGACACCCCGAAACUAAGCGAGCUACUUCAAAACAGCCAUCAUGGGCAAACCCGUCUCUGUCGCAAAAGAGUGGGAAGACUUUUAAGUAGAGGUGAUAAGCCUAUCGAGCUUAGAGAUAGCUGGUUGUUCAGGAAAAGAGUCUUAGCUCUACCUUAAGUUUUUUUAUUUUACACAAAAAACUAAUAAACUUAAGAGCUAUUCAACUAAGGUACAGCUUAUUUGAAACAGGAUACAACCUUCAAUAUUGGGUAAAACAAAGGUAUAAAAACAAAGUAGGCCUAAAAGCAGCCAUCUUAAUAAAAGCGUUACAGCUUCACUUUCUAACUUUAAAUACCUCUAACUUUCACUAACCCCUCACCACUACUGAACUGUUUUAUAUCUUUAUAAAAGUAAUUAUGCUAGAACUAGUAACAAGAAUUUAUUUCUCCUAUAUGUAAGCAUAAACCAACAUGGACAAUCCAUUGGUAUUUAACGUAAAUGUCUCUAUUAUAACAACAUAUACUAGAAAACCCUAUAACCCAAAACGUUAACCUUACACCAGAACAUUACAGGAAAGAUUAAAAGAGAAAAAAGGAACUCGGCAAAUCCCAGCCCCGCCUGUUUACCAAAAACAUCGCCUCUUGAAAAACAUAAGAGGUCCAGCCUGCCCAGUGAUAGAAUUCAACGGCCGCGGUACCCUAACCGUGCGAAGGUAGCAUAAUCACUUGUCCCCUAAAUAGGGACUAGAAUCAACGGCACCACGAAGGCUGUACUGUCUCUUUUCUCCAAUCAGUGAAACUGAUCUCCCCGUGAAAAAGCGGGAAUCAACUUAUAAGACGAGAAGACCCCAUGGAGCUUUAAGUAAAGUAUUCACCCAGACUCUAUUAUACCAACUAAAUAUAGCAACCUUGAUUACUAACCUUAGGUUGGGAGGACCGCGGAGCAUAACUAAACCUCCACAACAAAAAGGUAAUACCUUUAUCUACGAGUUACGACUCUAAGAAUUAAAAUAUUAAUGUCCAAUGACCCGACAAUUCGAUCAACGAACCAAGUUACCCUGGGGAUAACAGCACAAUCUGCUUAAAGAGCCCAUAUCGACAAGCAGGUUUAUGACCUCGAUGUUGGAUCAGGGUGUCCCAGUGGGCAGCCGCUA
This 1452-nucleotide ribosomal RNA is filed under the name Indosylvirana temporalis. Its description in RNAcentral is "partial 16S ribosomal RNA". It matches the Rfam family "Bacterial large subunit ribosomal RNA", at positions 163 to 2567 of the family's 2925-position model. Lineage: Eukaryota; Metazoa; Chordata; Amphibia; Anura; Ranidae. The record is from RNAcentral.